UGAGGGAAUAUUGGUCAAUGGCGAGAGCCUGAACCAGCCAAGUAGCGUGCAGGACGACGGCCCUAUGGGUUGUAAACUGCUUUUAUGCGGGGAUAAAGUGAGGGAUGCGUCCCUUUUUGCAGGUACCGCAUGAAUAAGGACCGGCUAAUUCCGUGCCAGCAGCCGCGGUAAUACGGAAGGUCCGGGCGUUAUCCGGAUUUAUUGGGUUUAAAGGGAGCGUAGGCCGGCUUUUAAGCGUGUUGUGAAAUGCCGCGGCUCAACCGUGGCACUGCAGCGCGAACUGGGGGGCUUGAGUGCGCGCAGCGCAAGGCGGAACUCGUGGUGUAGCGGUGAAAUGCUUAGAUAUCACGAAGAACUCCGAUCGCGAAGGCAGCCUGCGGGAGCGCAAC
Molecule: ribosomal RNA, 389 nt
Filed under: uncultured Prevotella sp.
Lineage: Bacteria; Pseudomonadati; Bacteroidota; Bacteroidia; Bacteroidales; Prevotellaceae
Description: bacterial SSU rRNA
Rfam family: Bacterial small subunit ribosomal RNA
Source: RNAcentral